GUAGGUGGCAAGCGUUGUCCGGAAUUAUUGGGCGUAAAGCGCGCGCAGGUGGUUCGUUUAAGUCUGAUGUGAAAGACCCCCGGGCUCGAACCCGGGGAGGGUCAUUGGAAACUGGGGGAACUUGAGUGCAGGAGAGGAAAGUGGAAUUCCACGUGUAGCGGUGAAAUGCGUAGAUAUGUGGAGGAACACCAGUGGCGAAGGCGACUUUCUGGCCUGUAACUGACACUGAGGCGACGAAAGCGGUGGGGAGACAAACAGGAUUAGAUACCCUGGUAGUCCACGACCGUAAACGAUGAGUGCUAAGUGGGUUUCGGGGGGGUUUCCCGCCCCUCAGUGCUGCAGACUAACGCUAUUGAGCACUCCGCCUGGGGGUACGGUCGCAAAGACUG
RNAcentral lists this ribosomal RNA (389 nucleotides) under uncultured organism. RNAcentral describes it as "partial 16S ribosomal RNA". It matches the Rfam family "Bacterial small subunit ribosomal RNA", at positions 527 to 896 of the family's 1533-position model. The record is from RNAcentral.